This is a long non-coding RNA of Manihot esculenta (cassava), 888 nucleotides long. RefSeq lists it as uncharacterized. The transcript is spliced from 2 exons. The record is from RefSeq and is a predicted model, not a curated record. Lineage: Eukaryota; Viridiplantae; Streptophyta; Magnoliopsida; Malpighiales; Euphorbiaceae.
UCCAGCUUCCAGAAUUUUUAAAUUAUAUUUAUUAAGUUCAUAUUUUUUCUGGUGGUGGGCAUUCUCAUUGUGAAUCUGAUUUUAGAUUUUGAUGUUCAGUAACAUAGCUUUCCCAAGGUUACAUACUUUUGUUUGGAUGACAAAUCUUUGAAAAUCAUGAGAUCCAUAUUCAGAUUUUAGUUUAAAUGCAAAUAUUAAAUAAAGAUUUUGACUUGUAAAAAUGUAUUAUCAGCACUAUUUGAGCAAUUCCAAGUAAAAUAUAUUCCCUACAAAUCUUUUCAUUUCAAAUGCAUAUCCAUCCAUAUGAAUUUAUAAUUGGUAUGCGAUUAUUUUCUCAACAACAUAGGAAGUAUUUUGCAUAAUGUUUGUAGCAGUUCAAAUGCAUAUCCAUCCAUAUGAAUUUAUCAUAGCAGUUCCACAGGGUUUUAUUGUUCCUUUUCUUUAUCUCCAUAACUAUUAUCUAGUCAAUGUUUCUAGUCUCCUGCACAUGUAUUGAACUGGACCCUUGUGUUUCAGAGAUGGAUAACUUUGCAGUUGACACAAGAUCCAAGUUAUUCUAGAGGUUGCCUUCAUUACAAGAUGAUGCGCCUCGCAGUGAUUUCUAUGGCACGUGCAACCACUGUGGUGCAUAAUUUGGCAUUACAGCAGCAGUUGCAAUACUGUGAUUACCUUCUAAGUUGUAACUCAUCUAAACAAAAAUCCCCUCAAAUGAUUUACGCAUUUCAUCCAUGAUUAUUCUACGGCUCUAUCUUGAUAUUUUGUCUUGAAUAUUAAGCAUGUUAGUGAAGAAGCGGAGAUAUUUUGCAAAUGGUUAAAACAUUAAAGUAAUUUUGUUUUGGGAACUUCUUUAAAAGAAUUUAGAUAAUAUUACUAUUAUUGAUUUAUUUC